RNAcentral lists this ribosomal RNA (253 nucleotides) under uncultured bacterium. Its description in RNAcentral is "partial 16S ribosomal RNA". It matches the Rfam family "Bacterial small subunit ribosomal RNA", at positions 524 to 776 of the family's 1533-position model. The record is from RNAcentral.
UACGUAGGGUGCGAGCGUUGUCCGGAAUUAUUGGGCGUAAAGGGCUCGUAGGCGGUCCGUCACGUCGGGCGUGAAAACUCGGGGCUCAACCCCGAGCCUGCUUCCGAUACGGGCGGACUAGAGGUAGGUAGGGGAGAACGGAAUUCCUGGUGUAGCGGUGGAAUGCGCAGAUAUCAGGAGGAACACCGGUGGCGAAGGCGGUUCUCUGGGCCUUACCUGACGCUGAGGAGCGAAAGCGUGGGGAGCGAACAGG